GAUGAAGAACGCAGCGAAAUGCGGUAAGUAAUGUGAAUUGCAGAAUUCAGUGAAUCAUCGAAUCUUUGAACGCACAUUGCGCCCGCCAGUAUUCUGGCGGGCAUGCCUGUCUGAGCGUCAUUUCAACCCUCAUGCCCCUAGGGCGUGGUGUUGGGGAUCGGCCAAAGCCCGUGAGGGACGGCCGGCCCCUAAAUCUAGUGGCGGACCCGUCGUGGCCUCCUCUGCGAAGUAGUGAUAUUCCGCAUCGGAGAGCGAUGAGCCCCUGCCGUUAAACCCCCAACUUUCCAAGGUUGACCUCAGAUCAGGUAGGAAUACCCGCUGAACUUAAGCAUAUCAAUAAGCGGAGGA
RNAcentral lists this unclassified non-coding RNA (348 nucleotides) under soil metagenome. RNAcentral describes it as "partial contains 5.8S ribosomal RNA, internal transcribed spacer 2, and large subunit ribosomal RNA". The stretch from base 1 to 120 matches the Rfam family "5.8S ribosomal RNA", at positions 35 to 154 of the family's 154-position model. The record is from RNAcentral.